CUAGCCUGGUCUUGGUGGCCGUUAAAUCACCUUUGUAAAACACAGUUUUAAAGAGACAGCCUGGCUCAUAAAACAUCAUAGGUGACACGCUGAAGCCAGUGACUGCCUUCUCACUUGUUCAAGGCAUUCAUACUCUGCGCAGCCUGGGACGGGCAGAGCCUAGGAGUGAAAAGCACAGAUGGCAAGUUGGUAGCAUCAACAUUUCUCCAGCAACAAAAUUGGGAAAUCAAAAUGUCAAACAAGACAUAAAAACUAGACACCUCAAGCAU
Molecule: non-coding RNA, 269 nt
Organism: Odocoileus virginianus texanus
Lineage: Eukaryota; Metazoa; Chordata; Mammalia; Artiodactyla; Cervidae
Source: RefSeq, a predicted model, not a curated record